RNAcentral lists this long non-coding RNA (256 nucleotides) under Elaeis guineensis (African oil palm). RNAcentral's name for it is "long non-coding RNA (EGUI_LNC016876)". The record is from RNAcentral. Lineage: Eukaryota; Viridiplantae; Streptophyta; Magnoliopsida; Arecales; Arecaceae.
UUGAGAUCCGUUUGGCUAAGACCCAUGAUCUGUGCAGUUGAGGCUUGCAACUCAUGCGGUCAAGACCUGCGCCUAUGCAGUAGCGUGUGCGGUGUUCGUCCUAGAUGCUCCAGCAUCAAUGGGCAUCCAAAGAUGACCUAAAAGUUCUUUAUGACACCACCUUAUUUUCAGUUUUAUAAGAAUUGCCGGUGACCAGUGGUCAUAGCAAAAUGUUUAUUAGCUAAGCUGUAUUGCACAACCAAAUUCUUGCAGGUGA